Molecule: ribosomal RNA, 429 nt
Filed under: Pseudomonadota bacterium
Lineage: Bacteria; Pseudomonadati; Pseudomonadota
Description: Proteobacteria bacterium partial 16S ribosomal RNA
Rfam family: Bacterial small subunit ribosomal RNA
Source: RNAcentral
UGGGGAAUAUUGGACAAUGGGCGAAAGCCUGAUCCAGCCAUGCCGCGUGUGUGAAGAAGGUCUUCGGAUUGUAAAGCACUUUAAGUUGGGAGGAAGGGCAGUAAGCGAAUACCUUGCUGUUUUGACGUUACCGACAGAAUAAGCACCGGCUAACUCUGUGCCAGCAGCCGCGGUAAUACAGAGGGUGCAAGCGUUAAUCGGAAUUACUAGGCGUAAAGCGUGCGUAGGCGGUUCGUUAAGUUGAAUGUGAAAGCCCCGGGCUCAACCUGGGAACUGCGUCCAAAACUGGCGAGCGAGAGUAGGGCAGAGGGUGGUGGAAGUUCCUGUGUAGCGGUGAAAUGCGUAGAUAUAGGAAGGAGCACCAGUGGCGAAGGCGACCACCUGGGCUCAUACUGACACUGAGGUGCGAAAGCGUGGGGAGCAAACAGG